Molecule: ribosomal RNA, 496 nt
Filed under: uncultured bacterium
Lineage: Bacteria
Description: partial 16S ribosomal RNA
Rfam family: Bacterial small subunit ribosomal RNA
Source: RNAcentral
GAUGAACGCUGGCGGCGUGCCUAAUACAUGCAAGUCGAGCGAACAGACGAGGAGCUUGCUCCUCUGACGUUAGCGGCGGACGGGUGAGUAACACGUGGAUAACCUACCUAUAAGACUGGGAUAACUUCGGGAAACCGGAGCUAAUACCGGAUAAUAUAUUGAACCGCAUGGUUCAAUAGUGAAAGACGGUUUUGCUGUCACUUAUAGAUGGAUCCGCGCCGCAUUAGCUAGUUGGUAAGGUAACGGCUUACCAAGGCAACGAUGCGUAGCCGACCUGAGAGGGUGAUCGGCCACACUGGAACUGAGACACGGUCCAGACUCCUACGGGAGGCAGCAGUAGGGAAUCUGCCGCAAUGGGCGAAAGCCUGACGGAGCAACGCCGCGUGAGUGAUGAAGGUCUGCGGAUCGUAAAACUCUGUUAUUAGGGAAGAACAAAUGUGUAAGUAACGAUGCACGUCUUGACGGUACCUAAUCAGAAAGCCACGGCUAACUACGU